This is a long non-coding RNA of Vicia villosa (hairy vetch), 385 nucleotides long. RefSeq lists it as uncharacterized. NCBI's taxonomy places the organism in Eukaryota, Viridiplantae, Streptophyta, Magnoliopsida, Fabales, Fabaceae. The transcript has 2 exons. The record is from RefSeq and is a predicted model, not a curated record.
UAAGUAAAGCAUUAAAUUUAUAAAUCAUAAAGUGAUAAAGUAAUAUCAUAUCUAAGAAGUUUAUAAAAAAAAAAAUAUAUAUCAUAUCUAAGAAUGGAAAAUGUUGCUAAAAUUUUCAAAUUUAUUUAUGUUAUGAUUAUCAUUCUUUCUCUUUUUCUUGUUGUAACCAGCAUGCAUGACUCGGAGGGUGAUGAUUGUACUGAUAGUUCUCAUUGUGAAUGCGACCCUCCUGAGACACCUUUCUGUGUUUUUAAAAUGUGCAUGUGUUUAUAAAAGGAUUCAGUUAUCUACCAUCUAUCUACUUCUACUAUUCUACUUCUACUAUCUACUAUUUACUUCUACUAUUUUUUACCCAUUAAUAAAAGAUUGACCAAACUUCCAAAAA